This 365-nucleotide ribosomal RNA is filed under the name Nanorana parkeri. RNAcentral describes it as "partial 12S ribosomal RNA". It matches the Rfam family "Bacterial small subunit ribosomal RNA", at positions 875 to 1384 of the family's 1533-position model. The record is from RNAcentral. Lineage: Eukaryota; Metazoa; Chordata; Amphibia; Anura; Dicroglossidae.
UAUUAACUCACACCUACCAACGCCCGGGUACUACGAGCCCCAGCUUAAAACCCAAAGGACUUGACGGUGUCCCACCCACCUAGAGGAGCCUGUUCUAUAAUCGAUGAUCCCCGCUAAACCCAACCCCCCCUUGCCAAUCAGCCUGUAUACCUCCGUCGUAAGCUUACCAUAUGAAUGCCCUAAGUAAGUCUAACGGCUACAAACACCAAUACGUCAGGUCAAGGUGCAGCUCAUGGGGCGGUAAGCAAUGGGCUACAAUUUCUAAUUUAGAACAAACGGAACACUGUAUGAAACUCAGUUGUGAAGGCGGAUUUAGUAGUAAAAAGAAAGUAGCGUGUUCUUUUUAACUAGGCCCUGGGACGUGU